UUUAAAUUGCUGUAGUAUUUUGACUAUACAAAGGUAUUGAAAUAAGACUUUAAUUGAGUGCUAAGAGAAUGGACUUUCAAAAAAAUGCUUUCUUAAUUUUAAAAAUUGAAAUUAUUUUUUUUUGUGAAGAAACAACAAUAAAAAUUAAAGACAAGAAGACCCUAAGAAUUUUUAUAAAUUUAUUAUAUUAAUAUACAAUACAUUUAUUUAAUUGGGGCGAUUUGAAAAUAUUUAAAACUUUUUAAAAACUAAUAAGAUCCAUUAAUAAUGAUUUUAUGAAAAAAAUACUCUAGGGAUAACAGCGUAAUAAUUUUAGAUAGAUCUUAUAGAAAAAAUAGUUUGCGACCUCGAUGUUGGAUUAGGAUUCUUAUUUAAUGAAGAAGUAAAAAA
RNAcentral lists this ribosomal RNA (390 nucleotides) under Haemaphysalis sulcata. RNAcentral describes it as "partial large subunit ribosomal RNA". The record is from RNAcentral. Lineage: Eukaryota; Metazoa; Arthropoda; Arachnida; Ixodida; Ixodidae.